UACGUAGGGUGCAAGCGUUGUCCGGAAUUAUUGGGCGUAAAGAGCUCGUAGGCGGCUUGUCGCGUCGACCGUGAAAACCCGCAGCUCAACUGCGGGCUUGCGGUCGAUACGGGCAGGCUCGAGUUCGGUAGGGGAGACUGGAAUUCCUGGUGUAGCGGUGAAAUGCGCAGAUAUCAGGAGGAACACUGGUGGCGAAGGCGGGUCUCUGGGCCGAUACUGACGCUGAGGAGCGAAAGCGUGGGGAGCGAACAGG
RNAcentral lists this ribosomal RNA (253 nucleotides) under uncultured bacterium. RNAcentral's name for it is "partial 16S ribosomal RNA". It matches the Rfam family "Bacterial small subunit ribosomal RNA", at positions 524 to 776 of the family's 1533-position model. The record is from RNAcentral.